This 26-nucleotide non-coding RNA is filed under the name Rattus norvegicus (Norway rat). The record is from RNAcentral. Lineage: Eukaryota; Metazoa; Chordata; Mammalia; Rodentia; Muridae.
UGAUACAAAGAAGUGGCCCUGUUAAG